UGGCCCAACCUUCACCACUGAGGAGUACGACGAACUUAUUGCUAUGCUUCGUAAUAAGAAGGGUAACAGUCAGCCUCUAGCACAUGCAACAGGACGUGGAUACGAAGAAGACGAUUGGCCUGGGCAAGCAUUUUGAUGGGCUUUACUACCUCACGCCUACCCAAAAUUCUCACCUUGCUACUCAUGUUCAUCGUACCUCCACGCUUUGGCAUCAACGUCUCGGACAUCCGUCAUCUACACCCCUUCACUCUUUAUCCAAGACCAUUCCUGAAAUAAUGUUUCAUUCUGAGCACAUUUGUGAUGUUUGCCCUUUGGCUAAACAAACCAGAUUACCAUUUACUUCUAGUUCAAUUAAAACAGUUGCACCUUUUGAUCUUAUUCAUUGUGACAUUUGGGGCCCUCAUAAUACCCGUACACAUUCUGGGGCACGUUAUUUUUUGACAAUUGUUGAUGAUUUCACUCGUUUCACUUGGGUU
Prunus mume (Japanese apricot) is the source of this 476-nucleotide non-coding RNA. The record is from RefSeq and is a predicted model, not a curated record. NCBI's taxonomy places the organism in Eukaryota, Viridiplantae, Streptophyta, Magnoliopsida, Rosales, Rosaceae.